Molecule: unclassified non-coding RNA, 489 nt
Filed under: Hevea brasiliensis (rubber tree)
Lineage: Eukaryota; Viridiplantae; Streptophyta; Magnoliopsida; Malpighiales; Euphorbiaceae
Source: RNAcentral
CAGUUUCCACAAAAGCUAAUUCCUGUAAGAUAUAUAGCUAGCUGAAUUCAUCAUUGUGAAUUCAAUUUCUUUGUGAUUUGCCAUGAAUUGCAUUAUGUGCAGCUUGCAGAAUAAUGGCUGUGCGCCAGGCCAGAAAGUUUUUCUAUCCUCAUUUUCUACAUUAAUUCAUAGUUCUACCCUUCCUAGCUUCCCUAUAAACCUAAAUCCCAUGCCAGAAAAGCUGUUCUGUCAUAUCCUCUCUCAAUGACAUUCUUUUUAUUCUCUCUGUCUCAUGCUCUAUAUUAGUUCUGCCAUUUGAGUAACUUGAUCUAAUAAGAGUUUUUUUCUUAUUGUGACUGGUAUUAUUAUAUGGUAACAUGCUUUUAAUAAAUUGACAAAAGCAAAUAACAUUACUCUUCUAUUAUGAGUACAAAGUUCGAGCAUUUAAACUAAAUAAAAGGUUGCCAUUUUUAUCUUUAUGUUUAGAAUGCAGGGAUGCGUCUUUAUGGG